Molecule: long non-coding RNA, 1788 nt
Filed under: Lactuca sativa (garden lettuce)
Lineage: Eukaryota; Viridiplantae; Streptophyta; Magnoliopsida; Asterales; Asteraceae
Description: long non-coding RNA (LSAT_LNC010346)
Source: RNAcentral
GUACAUAGGUCAAAACAAAAUCAUCGAGGGGCCCAUAUAUCAGCGUCUAAUCCAAGAAGGAACAGAUAAACUUUUACUCAUAUGUUUGUGACUCUAAAGCCUCAAGGACAACGAGAUCAAGCAAGUGAUUCAAGGUAAACUUCUAAUCUCUGAUUUCAUAUUAUUGUUAUUGUAUGUUAGCCAUUAGGAGUCUUGGAUUCAAUGUAUGUUCAAUUAGAGAAACCUUGAUCCAAGCAUUAGGGUUGCAUGUGCACAUAGGAAUGUUCAUAUGGCCAAAACCCAUCAAUAUUUUAGGGAGCUCUCUAAGCAUUCGUGCUUACCGUGUUAUGUGUUAUGUGUUAUGUGUUUCAGGUGCCUCGGGAGAUAGCAAGAAGGCGCCGAUAUGAUUGUACACACACACACACAAGAUGGAACAUGUUAGUGAUGGGUUUUGAGCAUUCUAACACUUUCUAAGUGUACAUGCAACCCUAAUAACCUUGGAUCUAUGUUUGUCUAAUAAUCAUGCAAAGUUGUUUUUCCAAGGUUAUGAACCUAUCUAGCAUACAUGGGGAACAAUUUUCUUUGUAUAAAAGAUAGAACUACAUACCUUGUUGAUGAAAGUGUUCUUUGAAACCUUGUGAGCCUAGCACCUCAAGUGUGAUGCCUCAAAUGCUUCACACAACACCAAAUGCAAAGUAUAAACUUGAGAGAAUACUCUAACACACUCAAAAUCAGCCAAGACCUCUUGUUUCGCUUGGUGUAACCGAUUUUUGGGAGAGAUAUGGUCUUUAUAUAGUGUGUUGCAUUAGGUAAAACCCUAAUGUAACAUGACUCUUCAUUUCUCAAUCAAUGGGUUAACUACAUGGAGCAUCCAUGGAGCAUCCUGUGGGUGGAACCCAACUUGAUAAUCCAUGGAGCCCUUUAGCCCACUAUACAAGAUAUGGAAGAUUUACAUAAUCUACCCAUGUAUUUAAUUAGUUAUCUUUUUGAUCAGUUAAUUAAUUCUAAAUUUAUUCUUGAUCAAAACUAAUUAAAUAAUAUUAUUUAUAUAUUAGAACUUAUAAUAUAUUAAUAAACCAUAUGUGUUAUUUCUCUCAUUUAGUUUAUCCAAUUGCAUGGUGCCAUGCGACCCAAAUGGACCAUGUCGGGUCGGGUCAAGUACAUACCAGAAAUAGUUAUGGACUUAGACACCUUAUCCAGCAGUCUCCCACUUGGAUAAGUCUAAUAACUAUAACGACAGUACUUCAGGAACCGAUCGGCAAUCGUAGCUUUUUCAAGGUCUCUCGGAAGUGAGAAGAUGUUGAUACGCCUUUUAAGAUAAGUGAUCAUAUAAUCAUCUGUUCUAGAUAUCAGCCGGACAACUGCAUGGAACAAUGUCUUACUUACUGUCCAGCAAUUUGUUUCUCGAUUUCUAAUUUGUUUGACAAAGAACUAAGUUGAACACAUCAAUUAGGUUCUGACUGAGCCCGGUACAUAGGUCAAAACAAAAUCAGCGAGGGGCCCAGAUAUCAGCGUCUAAUCCAAGAAGGAACAGAUAAACUUUCACUCAUAUGUUUGUGACUCUAAAGCCUCAAGGACAACGAGAUCAAGCAAGUGAUUCAAGGUAAACUUCUAAUCUCUGAUUUCAUAUUAUUGUUAUUGUAUGUUAGCCAUUAGGAGUCUUGGAUUCAAUGUAUGUUCAAUUAGAGAAACCUUGAUCCAAGCAUUAGGGUUGCAUGUGCACAUAGGAAUGUUCAUAUGGCCAAAACCCAUCAAUAUUUUAGGGAGCUCUCUAAGCAUUCGUGCUUACCGUGUUAUGUGUUAUGUGUU